This 497-nucleotide ribosomal RNA is filed under the name uncultured bacterium. Its description in RNAcentral is "partial 16S ribosomal RNA". It matches the Rfam family "Bacterial small subunit ribosomal RNA", at positions 28 to 507 of the family's 1533-position model. The record is from RNAcentral.
GAUGAACGCUGGCGGCGUGCCUAAUACAUGCCAGUCGAGCGAACAGAUGAGGAGCUUGCUCCUCUGACGUUAGCGGCGGACGGGUGAGUAACACGUGGAUAACCUACCUAUAAGACUGGGAUAACUUCGGGAAACCGGAGCUAAUACCGGAUAAUAUAUUGAACCGCAUGGUUCAAUAGUGAAAGACGGUUUUGCUGUCACUUAUAGAUGGAUCCGCGCCGCAUUAGCUAGUUGGUAAGGUAACGGCUUACCAAGGCAACGAUGCGUAGCCGACCUGAGAGGGUGAUCGGCCACACUGGAACUGAGACACGGUCCAGACUCCUACGGGAGGCAGCAGUAGGGAAUCUUCCGCAAUGGGCGAAAGCUUGACGGAGCAACGCCGCGUGAGUGAUGAAGGUCUUCGGAUCGUAAAACUCUGUUAUUAGGGAAGAACAAAUGUGUAAGUAACUAUGCACGUCUUGACGGUACCUAAUCAGAAAGCCACGGCUAACUACGUG